RNAcentral lists this ribosomal RNA (419 nucleotides) under bacterium. RNAcentral describes it as "partial 16S ribosomal RNA". It matches the Rfam family "Bacterial small subunit ribosomal RNA", at positions 356 to 776 of the family's 1533-position model. The record is from RNAcentral.
UGGGGAUAUUGCACAAUGGGCGAAAGCCUGAUGCAGCGACGCCGCGUGGGGGAUGAAGUCUUUCGGGUUGUAAACCUCUUUCGCUAUCGAACAAGGCCCGCUUAGGGUGGGUUGAGGGUAGGUGGAGAAGAAGCGCCGGCUAACUACGUGCCAGCAGCCGCGGUAAUACGUAGGGCGCGAGCGUUGUCCGGAAUUAUUGGGCGUAAAGGGCUUGUAGGCGGCUUGUUGCGCCUGCUGUGAAAACGCGGGGCUUAACUUCGCGCGUGCAGUGGGUACGGGCAGGCUUGAGUGUGGUAGGGGUGACUGGAAUUCCAGGUGUAGCGGUGGAAUGCGCAGAUAUCUGGAGGAACACCGAUGGCGAAGGCAGGUCACUGGGCCAUUACUGACGCUGAGGAGCGAAAGCAUGGGUAGCGAACAGG